Molecule: long non-coding RNA, 456 nt
Organism: Metopolophium dirhodum (rose-grain aphid)
Lineage: Eukaryota; Metazoa; Arthropoda; Insecta; Hemiptera; Aphididae
Exons: 3
Source: RefSeq, a predicted model, not a curated record
UUUUUUAUUGUAUAGUGUAUAGUAGGUUCCUUGAUUAAAAGUUAACUAUUUCAAUCCUUAAAAGAUACCAAGAUAAAAACUAAACUACUGUAUAAUAUUACCACCAGCUCCACAAAAAGGAUCCAACACUAUGUUAUUUUUACAACGCUUUGCUAUAUGAUAACUUAAUACCUCCGGACAGACCGAAUAGAAGCUCUCUGUAAAUAUAAAACAAUGUUUAAAAACAUAAGAUUUAAACAGAAAAUAGUUGAAUUACCUGUGUCCAAAAGAAUACCGCGAUCAAAAUUUGUAAAUAACAAGUGCCUCAUUAACCAGUAUUUAAUAGGCAACUGUUUAUCUUGAUGAAGAUUAUUGGUGUUUUUUCGGCAAUUCAAUUGAUUUGACUAUAAAAUAGUUGAUGAUUAAUUAUUUGCACAACAAAUGGAAUUAAAAUUUUGAAAUUAUACUCAAGAGCUA